GGGAAUGUGGCUCAGUGGUAGAGUGCUUGCCUAGCAAGCAUAAGGCCCUGGAUUCGAUUCCUCAGUACCA
RNAcentral lists this transfer RNA (70 nucleotides) under Dipodomys ordii (Ord's kangaroo rat). It matches the Rfam family "tRNA". Rfam says of the family: Transfer RNA (tRNA) molecules are approximately 80 nucleotides in length. Lineage: Eukaryota; Metazoa; Chordata; Mammalia; Rodentia; Heteromyidae. The record is from Rfam by way of RNAcentral.